GGUCCGUUAGCUCAGUCGGCAGAGCGCGGUGCUAAUACGCAGGACUUCUGGUCCUAUGGCUACGCUGAGGUCGAGAGUUCAAGCCUCUCACGGACCA
Molecule: non-coding RNA, 97 nt
Organism: Desmophyllum pertusum
Lineage: Eukaryota; Metazoa; Cnidaria; Anthozoa; Scleractinia; Caryophylliidae
Source: the annotation of a GenBank genome assembly